UACAGAGGGGGCAAGCGUUGUUCGGAAUUACUGGGCGUAAAGGGCGCGUAGGCGGCCUUCUAAGUCGAACGUGAAAUCCCCGGGCUCAACCCGGGAACUGCGUCCGAGACUGGAAGGCUCGAAUCCGGGAGAGGGAUGUGGAAUUCCAGGUGUAGCGGUGAAAUUCGUAGAUAUUCGGAGGAACACCAGUGGCGAAGGCGGCUCACUGGUCCGGUACUGACGCUGAGGUGCGAAAGCGUGGGGAGCAAACAGG
Molecule: ribosomal RNA, 253 nt
Filed under: uncultured bacterium
Lineage: Bacteria
Description: partial 16S ribosomal RNA
Rfam family: Bacterial small subunit ribosomal RNA
Source: RNAcentral